CAGUCGCCGCGGGAAUACGAAGGGGGCUAGCGUUGCUCGGAUUUACUGGGCGUAAAGGGCGCGUAGGCGGACAGUUAAGUUGGGGGUGAAAGCCCGGGGCUCAACCUCGGAAUUGCCUUCAAUACUGGCUGUCUUGAGUACGGGAGAGGUGUGUGGAACUCCGAGUGUAGAGGUGAAAUUCGUAGAUAUUCGGAAGAACACCAGUGGCGAAGGCGACACACUGGCCCGUUACUGACGCUGAGGCGCGAAAGCGUGGGGAGCAAACAGGAUUAGAUACCCCCGUAGUCCCUGUCUCUUAUAC
Molecule: ribosomal RNA, 301 nt
Filed under: uncultured bacterium
Lineage: Bacteria
Description: partial 16S ribosomal RNA
Rfam family: Bacterial small subunit ribosomal RNA
Source: RNAcentral